UCCAGCCUGGAUGACAGAGCAAGACUCCAUCUCAAUAAAUAGGCUCAGCAAACUCCCGAGUUCCUGUGCUGCUGAAGAAGGCAUUGAGCAGAAUACAGAAAGACUGGGUAUAGCUUGGGUUUGAGAUGAAACACCAGCAAUGGAAGAUUCGCUCUGUUGUCUAUCAGCUUGCAUACUUUGAUGAAACAAGCUUCCAUGUUGAAGAGGACCAAGUGGAAGUGAAUUGAGGGCAAGCACUGGACAACAGCCAGAGAGAAAGUCCAAAGCCCAUUCCCCUAUAAGUAACUGAAUGCAGCCAACAACCAGUGAGUGGACCUGAAAGCUUUCCAACAGCCUUGUAAUGACUACAGUUGCAGCCAACAACAUGAUUUCAGCCUGCGAGAGACCUCAGCAUACCUGGAUUCCCGGACUACAGAAACUGAGCUAAUAAAUGUGUGCCAUUUUGAGCCACUAAGUUUUGGCACAUUUUUUUGGGCACAUUAGAUAGCAAUAGUAGAUAAUUAAUAGAAGCUUGUUACUAUUUGUCCCUCUACUUUCUACUCCAAUAUUUUGUUGCUAUUGUCUUCUUUCCCAAUCUCUUUAUCCUUGUGGGCUGAUAUAUUUUUUAAUUCCUGUAUUCUUUUUUUUCUUUUUUGAGAUGGAGUCU
This 646-nucleotide long non-coding RNA is filed under the name Homo sapiens (human). RNAcentral describes it as "HSALNT0321400". Lineage: Eukaryota; Metazoa; Chordata; Mammalia; Primates; Hominidae. The record is from RNAcentral.